This 487-nucleotide ribosomal RNA is filed under the name uncultured bacterium. RNAcentral describes it as "bacterial SSU rRNA". It matches the Rfam family "Bacterial small subunit ribosomal RNA", at positions 501 to 989 of the family's 1533-position model. The record is from RNAcentral.
CUACGUGCCAGCAGCCGCGGUAAUACGUAUGUCGCGAGCGUUAUCCGGAAUUAUUGGGCAUAAAGGGCAUCUAGGCGGCCGGGUAAGUCCGGGGUGAAAACUGCUGGCUCAACCAGCAGCCUGCCUUGGAAACUACCCGGCUUGAGUGCUGGAGAGGUGGACGGAACUGCACGAGUAGAGGUGAAAUUCGUAGAUAUGUGCAGGAAUGCCGAUGAUGAAGAUAGUUCACUGGACGGCAACUGACGCUGAAGUGCGAAAGCUAGGGGAGCGAACAGGAUUAGAUACCCUGGUAGUCCUAGCUGUAAACGAUGAUUACUGGGUGUGGGCAUGAAGAGUGUCCGUGCCGAAGCUAAUGCGAUAAGUAAUCCGCCUGGGGAGUACGGCCGCAAGGCUGAAACUCAAAGGAAUUGACGGGGACCCGCACAAGCGGUGGAGCAUGUGGUUUAAUUCGACGCAACGCGAGGAACCUUACCAGAUCUUGACAUCC